UACGUAGGGUGCAAGCGUUUAAUCGGAAUUACUGGGCGUAAAGCGUGCGCAGGCGGUUUUGUAAGUUUGUCGUGAAAUCCCCGGGCUCAACCUGGGAAUUGCGAUGAAGACUGCAAGGCUAGAAUCUGGCAGAGGGGGGUAGAAUUCCACGUGUAGCAGUGAAAUGCGUAGAGAUCCGGAGGAAGACCGGUGGCGAAGGCGGUCUGCUGGGCAGUUUCUGACACUGAGGCGCGACAGCGUGGGGAGCAAACAGGG
Molecule: ribosomal RNA, 255 nt
Filed under: uncultured bacterium
Lineage: Bacteria
Description: partial 16S ribosomal RNA
Rfam family: Bacterial small subunit ribosomal RNA
Source: RNAcentral